UACGUAGGGUGCAAGCGUUGUCCGGAAUUAUUGGGCGUAAAGAGCUCGUAGGCGGUUUGUCGCGUCGAAUGUGAAAUCCCGGGGCUCAACCCCGGGUCUGCAUUCGAUACGGGCAGACUAGAGUUCGGUAGGGGAGUCUGGAAUUCCUGGUGUAGCGGUGAAAUGCGCAGAUAUCAGGAGGAACACCAGUGGCGAAGGCGGUGCUCUGGGCCGGAACUGACGCUGAGGAGCGAAAGCGUGGGGAGCAAACAGG
This 253-nucleotide ribosomal RNA is filed under the name uncultured bacterium. Its description in RNAcentral is "partial 16S ribosomal RNA". It matches the Rfam family "Bacterial small subunit ribosomal RNA", at positions 524 to 776 of the family's 1533-position model. The record is from RNAcentral.